AUGGCUGCGUUCGAUGAGUCGCCGAUGGUGCGGCCGACGGUGCAGGAGCUGGCGGCGGCCGGCGUCGAGGAACCGCCGCGACAGUACGUGCUGCCGGAGCAAGACCGUCACGGCGACCUGCUGGCCGCCGACGAGUUUCCGGAGCCCAUCCCCCUCGUCGAUCUUAGCCGGCUCACGGACGCCGACGAAGCCGAGAGGCUCCGGGCGGCUCUGCAGACCUGGGGCUUCUUCCUGGCCACCAACCAUGGGAUCGAGGAGUCUCUAAUGGACGCCAUGAUGAGCGUGUCGAGGGAGUUCUUCCGGCAGCCGGCAGAGGAGAAGCAGAAGUGCAGCAAUCUGGCGGACGGCAACGGCAAGGACUACCAGGUGGAAGGGUAUGGAAGUGACAAGGUGGUGUCCGAGGAUCAGGUCCUCAACUGGAGUGACCGGUUGCAAUUGGAAGUGGAUCCAGAAGAUGAGAGGAAUCUCGCUAAGUGGCGCCGUCACCCGGAAUCUUUCAGAGUUUUUCUACAGGGAUGUGCACAAGAGUACGCAUCAAGAACCAAGAAAAUAAGAGACCUCGUCUUGCGAUCGAUAGCCAAGCUCUUGGAGAUUGAGGAGGACUACUUUGUCAACCAGAUAUCAAACAAAGCUUCCGGGUUUGCUAGAUUCAACUACUACCCUCCAUGCCCGAGGCCUGACCUAGUUUUGGGCCUCAUGCCUCACUCCGACAGUGGUCUCCUUACCAUCCUUUUCAACAAUGACAACGUCGGUGGCUUGCAAGUUCAAAGAGAUGGGAGAUGGUACAAUAUAAUGAACAUUGGAAUCUUUACAAGCCCAGUUCACAGAGUGGUGACAAACAUCGAGAAGGAUAGGCUUCUUGGCUGUGUUUUACGUCGUGGAUGCGGAAACUAUGCUAGAGCCAGUGCCCGGUUUGCUGGAUGA
Molecule: ribosomal RNA, 924 nt
Filed under: Triticum aestivum (bread wheat)
Lineage: Eukaryota; Viridiplantae; Streptophyta; Magnoliopsida; Poales; Poaceae
Description: partial small subunit ribosomal RNA
Source: RNAcentral